RNAcentral lists this ribosomal RNA (436 nucleotides) under uncultured bacterium. RNAcentral's name for it is "bacterial SSU rRNA". It matches the Rfam family "Bacterial small subunit ribosomal RNA", at positions 956 to 1392 of the family's 1533-position model. The record is from RNAcentral.
UGAACGCGAAGAACCUUACCUGGGCUUGACAUGUAAUGAACAACAUGUGAAAGCAUGCGACUCUUCGGAGGCGUUACACAGGUGCUGCAUGGCCGUCGUCAGCUCGUGUCGUGAGAUGUUUGGUUAAGUCCAGCAACGAGCGCAACCCCUGUUGCCAGUUACCAGCACGUGAAGGUGGGGACUCUGGCGAGACUGCCCAGAUCAACUGGGAGGAAGGUGGGGACGACGUCAGGUCAGUAUGGCCCUUAUGCCCAGGGCUGCACACGUGCUACAAUGCCCAGUACAGAGGGGGCCGAAGCCGCGAGGCGGAGGAAAUCCUAAAAACUGGGCCCAGUUCGGACUGUAGGCUGCAACCCGCCUACACGAAGCCGGAAUCGCCAGUAAUGGCGCAUCAGCUACGGCGCCGUGAAUACGUUCCCGGGUCUUGUACACACCG